This 98-nucleotide transfer RNA is filed under the name Agrobacterium sp. RC10-4-1. RNAcentral's name for it is "tRNA-Leu". The record is from RNAcentral. Lineage: Bacteria; Pseudomonadati; Pseudomonadota; Alphaproteobacteria; Hyphomicrobiales; Rhizobiaceae.
GCGUUAUCAACGGCUUGACCAGACAGUAUUGGCACCCAAGGGGACUUAAAAUCUGCCGACCAUUGGUCUUGCGGGUUCAAGUCCCGCCGUCCGCACCA